AAUAAGAUGGCUGAGUGUUAAGCGGUGGAUUGUAGUCCCAUGAACGAGGGUUUAAUUCCUUCUCUUAUAA
Molecule: transfer RNA, 70 nt
Filed under: Pegasus laternarius
Lineage: Eukaryota; Metazoa; Chordata; Actinopteri; Syngnathiformes; Pegasidae
Description: tRNA-Tyr
Rfam family: tRNA
About the family: Transfer RNA (tRNA) molecules are approximately 80 nucleotides in length. Their secondary structure includes four short double-helical elements and three loops (D, anti-codon, and T loops).
Source: RNAcentral